GCUAAUACCGCGUAAGCUCGRGAGAGGAAAGCAGGGGAUCGWAGGACCUUGCGCKRWUGGAGCGGCCGAUGACUGAUUAGCUAGUUGGUGGGGUAAAGGCCUACCAAGGCGACGAUCGGUAGCUGGUCUGAGAGGAUGAUCAGCCACACUGGGRAUGAGAGACGGCCCAGACUCCUACGGGAGGCAGCAGUGGGGAAUUUUGGACAAUGGGCGGAAGCCUGAUCCAGCAAURCCGCGUGGGUGAAGAAGGCCUUAGGGUUGUAAAGCCCUUUCGGUAGGGAAGAAAAGGUAUKUUUAAAYAGAGGAUAYUGAUGACGGUACCUGCAGAAGAAGCACCGGCAAACUACGUGCCAGCAGCCGCGGUAACACGUAGGGUGCGAGCGUUAAUCGGAAUUAUUGGGCGUAAAGAGGUACGCAGGCGGRUGUGUAAGUCAGGUGUGAAAUUCCUGGGCUCAACUUGGGGACAGCACCAGAGACUGCAUAGCUAGAGUAUGGCAGAGGGGGGUGGAAUUUCACGUGUAGCAGUGAAAUGCGUAGAGAUGUGAAGGAACCCCGAUGGCGAAGGCAGCCCCCUGGGCCGUUCCUGACGCUCAUGUACGAAAGCGUGGGGAGCGAACAGGAUUAGAUACCCUGGUAGUCCCCGCCCUAAACGAUGUCGACUAGUUGUUGGGGUUAUUAUAACUUCAGUAACGUAGCUAACGCGWGAAGUCGACCGCCUGGGGAGUACGAUCGCAAGAUUAAAACUCAAAGGAAUYGACGGGGACCCGCACAAGCGGUGGAUGAUGUG
RNAcentral lists this ribosomal RNA (787 nucleotides) under uncultured beta proteobacterium. Its description in RNAcentral is "bacterial SSU rRNA". Lineage: Bacteria; Pseudomonadati; Pseudomonadota; Betaproteobacteria. The record is from RNAcentral.